This is a long non-coding RNA of Cyprinus carpio (common carp), 755 nucleotides long. The record is from Ensembl. Lineage: Eukaryota; Metazoa; Chordata; Actinopteri; Cypriniformes; Cyprinidae.
GAAAAAUUAAACUCUCUAUAUAUCUUCACAUUCACUUCUCACAAUUUAGAUUCAGUUCUCAAAUUCAAUUUCAAGUUACUGAGACAGACAUCCUGGUAGUUGGAGGAUGAAAGAAGAGCAAUCGAGCACAGAUCGAUAGAUAGCGUUCAUUGGUGCACAGGAUUCCUCUUGGGCCAAUCAGCACCUACUUUUUGGAGCAUAGUACGUACCCGUCAUGAAACAAGGAAGAAGUGCUUGCCUUGCUGACUGGCUUGACCACCAUGGAUUCGGCUGGGACAAAUACACCAGUGGAAAGCGCUGGCGUGUUCAAGGGCCUUCCAACCACUUCACACCAGUCAAAGAGAUAGAAGUUACAUUUUAUCUCUUACCCAAGAUUGUUGAGCACACUCCCAAAGGCAGUGAAGAAGUUUUCCAUCUGCAAGCUGGUUUGGGACGCAGGUCCACGCUGAUACCAGGGAACUACACCCAUGAUGAGGUGAGGCAACAUUUUUUUUGUCAUAUAAUAUUUUAAUAUAGUCCACUAUCAAAACCAAUGUUCUUUUGUCAAUAUGAUGGUAUGAUUUAUAUUACUCUUGAAGGUAUGUUCAACUCUCAAAGAUCUUUGUCCAAAACUUGAAAGUGUGUCUGGGGGCUGGCUGAUUUACAAAGGAGCAGGUACCUAGAACUUACCCAUGGAAAAUCUAAUCUUGGUAUAAAAUCAUUUGAAUCAAUAUCUUGAGUGAUGAGCUUUCUGUAGAUAUAUUUAUCAUGUAUGU